GAUGAACGCUGGCGGCGUGCUUAACACAUGCAAGUCGAACGGUGAACACGGAGCUUGCUCUGUGGGAUCAGUGGCGAACGGGUGAGUAACACGUGAGCAACCUGCCCCUGACUCUGGGAUAAGCGCUGGAAACGGCGUCUAAUACUGGAUAUGUGACGUGACCGCAUGGUCUGCGUUUGGAAAGAUUUUUCGGUUGGGGAUGGGCUCGCGGCCUAUCAGCUUGUUGGUGAGGUAAUGGCUCACCAAGGCGUCGACGGGUAGCCGGCCUGAGAGGGUGACCGGACACACUGGGACUGAGACACGGCACAGACUCCUACGGGAGGCAGCAGUGGAGAAUAGUGCACUAUGGGCGCAAGCCUAAUGCAGCAACGCCGCGUGAGGGAUGACGGCAAUCGGGUUGUAAACCUCUUUUAGCAGGGAAGAAGCGAAAGUGACGGUACCUGCAGAAAAAGCGCCGGCUAACUACGUG
Molecule: ribosomal RNA, 469 nt
Filed under: uncultured bacterium
Lineage: Bacteria
Description: partial 16S ribosomal RNA
Rfam family: Bacterial small subunit ribosomal RNA
Source: RNAcentral